Molecule: ribosomal RNA, 786 nt
Filed under: Bacillus sp. CUL-ADPUPBH6P6
Lineage: Bacteria; Bacillati; Bacillota; Bacilli; Caryophanales; Bacillaceae
Description: bacterial SSU rRNA
Rfam family: Bacterial small subunit ribosomal RNA
Source: RNAcentral
UUAGAGUUUGAAUCCUGUAUCAGGAUGAACGCNGGCGGCGUGCCUAAUACAUGCAAGUCGAGCGAAUGGAUUAAGAGCUUGCUCUUAUGAAGUUAGCGGCGGACGGGUGAGUAACACGUGGGUAACCUGCCCAUAAGACUGGGAUAACUCCGGGAAACCGGGGCUAAUACCGGAUAACAUUUUGAACCGCAUGGUUCGAAAUUGAAAGGCGGCUUCGGCUGUCACUUAUGGAUGGACCCGCGUCGCAUUAGCUAGUUGGUGAGGUAACGGCUCACCAAGGCAACGAUGCGUAGCCGACNUGAGAGGGUGAUNGGCCACACUGGGACUGAGACACGGCCCAGACUCCUACGGGAGGCAGCNGUAGGGAAUCUUCCGCAAUGGACGAAAGUCUGACGGAGCAACGCCGCGUGAGUGAUGAAGGCUUUCGGGUCGUAAAACUCUGUUGUUAGGGAAGAACAAGUGCUAGUUGAAUAAGCUGGCACCUUGACGGUACCUAACCAGAAAGCCACGGCUAACUACGUGCCAGCAGCCGCGGUAAUACGUAGGUGGCAAGCGUUAUCCGGAAUUAUUGGGCGUAAAGCGCGCGCAGGUGGUUUCUUAAGUCUGAUGUGAAAGCCCACGGCUCAACCGUGGAGGGUCAUUGGAAACUGGGAGACUUGAGUGCAGAAGAGGAAAGUGGAAUUCCAUGUGUAGCGGUGAAAUGCGUAGAGAUAUGGAGGAACCACCAGUGGCGAAGGCGACUUUCUGGUCUGUAACUGACACUGAGGCGCGAAAGCGUGGGAGCAA